AAAGUUAGAAGAAAUAAUCCACUAGACGGCAUGACAGUCUCUUUUUGCGCUAUACAUAUGUAUCACAUUCACAUUCCAGCAAUUAUUCUGAUAGUUUCGUCAGACUGAGAUAAUUCGAAUAACAUGCUGUUUGUGUACAUACUUUACCUUGUGUCAAAAGAUAUUAAAAUGUCUCUGAAUGUUGUUUCUUGCAGAUGAUUUUGAAUUUAGUGUUUAUUUAAAUAACAAGAUUGGUUUUUAAAAUGAAGAAAAGAUUAGUUAACAAAAUGUCAAAAUUGUCGCGUUAUUCAAUUUUUUUCUCAUGUGCGUUAGCAUUUUUUCCUGUGAUAAAAUUGACGCAUAUAAAAGAUUUUUACGAUGAAAUGAUGUAUAAGUACUCUCGUAAGAACUGUAAAAACAAUGAUGGUUACAAAUGCGGAGCGCAUUUAUAUUCAGAUCAUUACAAACUUUACAAAAGUGUUUAUUUUGAAAUGAAGAAUAAAAAACAAGACUGAAAUAUAAACUUCAAUAAAGAAGUACGUAAAUUUGUAAAAACUUCAUUAAACAGAUUAAUAUAUAAUUAACAUCAAUAAAGUUUAAUAAUUAAAAUAAAA
Long non-coding RNA from Cotesia glomerata, 593 nucleotides. RefSeq lists it as uncharacterized. The transcript has 4 exons. The record is from RefSeq and is a predicted model, not a curated record. Lineage: Eukaryota; Metazoa; Arthropoda; Insecta; Hymenoptera; Braconidae.